This 1600-nucleotide long non-coding RNA is filed under the name Salmo salar (Atlantic salmon). Its description in RNAcentral is "lncRNA (ENSSSAG00000090304.1, ENSSSAG00000106706.1)". Lineage: Eukaryota; Metazoa; Chordata; Actinopteri; Salmoniformes; Salmonidae. The record is from RNAcentral.
GGAUGCUCAUCUUGACGUUUUAUUUAACUCAAAAAUACGAACACCAAAAUAACAAACAACAAACUCACGAUCAACACAACAGUCUUGUAAGGCUUACUCACGCUAAACAAGAAACAGGCAAAACAAGAAACAAUCUCCCACAAAAUACAAACCAAAACACACCCUAAUAUAUAGGACUCUCAAUCAAAGGCAAAGAGACAACACCUGCCUUCAAUUGAGAGUCCCAACCCCAAUUAACUAAACAUAGAAACAGAUUUACUAGACAAAACAUAGAAAUACAUGAAUAUGACACAGUGCCCAAAAAACCACGGAAUACAUAAAUCAAAUGCCCUUCUACAAAAACCACCACCCCGAACCACAUAAAACAAAUACCCUCUGCCACGUCCUGACCAAACUACAAUAACAAUUAACCCUUAUACUGGUCAGGACGUGACACCCCUCACUGUAUUGUAGAUAUGUGGUCUGAGGUAACACACUAAAUGUAUUGUAGAUAUGUGGUAGUAGAGUAGUGGUCUGAGGUAACACACUAAAUGUAUUGUAGAUAUGUGGUAGUAGAGUAGUGGUCUGAGGUAACACACUAAAUGUAUUGUAGAUAUGUGGUAGUAGAGUAGUGGUCUGAGGUAACACACUAAAUGUAUUGUAGAUAUGUGGUAGUAGAGUAGUGGUCUGAGGUAACACACUAAAUGUAUUGUAGAUAUGUGGUAGUAGAGUAGUGGUCUGAGGUAACACACUAAAUGUAUUGUAGAUAUGUGGUAGUAGAGUAGUGGUCUGAGGUAACACACUAAAUGUAUUGUAGAUAUGUGGUAGUAGAGUAGUGGUCUGAGGUAACACACUAAAUGUAUUGUAGAUAUGUGGUAGUAGAGUAGUGGUCUGAGGUAACACACUUAAUGUGCUGUGAAAUCUGUUGUGAAAUGUAUUGUAAUGUUUUAAAAAUGGUAUAACUGCCUUAAUUUUGCUGGAACCAAGGAAGAGUAGCCGCUGCCUUGGCAGGAACUAAUGGGGAUCCAUAAUAAACCCCAGGAAGAGUAGCUGCUGCCUUGACAGGAACUAAUAGGGAUCCAUAAUAAACCCCAGGAAGAGUAGCCGCUGCCUUGGCAGGAACUAAUGGGGAUCCAUAAUAAACCCCAGGAAGAGUAGCUGCUGCCUUGACAGGAACUAAUGGGGAUCCAUAAUAAACCCCAGGAAGAGUAGCUGCUGCCUCGGCAGGAACUAAUGGGGAUCCAUAAUAAACCCCAGGAAGAGUAGCUGCUGCCUUGGCAGGAACUAAUGGGGAUACAUAAUAAACCCCAGGAAGAGUAGCUGCUGCCUCUGCAGGAACUAAUGGGGAUCCAUAAUAAACCCCAGGAAGAGUAGCCGCUGCCUUGGCAGGAACUAAUGGGGAUCCAUAAUAAACCCCAGGAAGAGUAGCCGCUGCCUUGACAGGAACUAAUGGGGAUCCAUAAUAAACCCCAGGAAGAGUAGCUGCUGCCUUGGCAGGAACUAAUGGGGAUACAUAAUAAACCCCAGGAAGAGUAGCCGCUGCCUCGACAGGAACUAAUGGGGAUCCAUAAUAAACCCCAGGAAGAGUAGCUGCUGCCUUGGCAGGAACUAAUGGGGAUCC